Molecule: ribosomal RNA, 460 nt
Filed under: uncultured bacterium
Lineage: Bacteria
Description: partial 16S ribosomal RNA
Rfam family: Bacterial small subunit ribosomal RNA
Source: RNAcentral
CCUACGGGUGGCAGCAGUGAGGAAUAUUGGUCAAUGGGCGGGAGCCUGAACCAGCCAAGUCGCGUGAGGGACGACGGUCCUAUGGAUUGUAAACCUCUUUUGUCGGGGAACAAAGGCGCCCACGGGUGGGCGGAUGAGUGUACCCGAAGAAAAAGCAUCGGCUAACUCCGUGCCAGCAGCCGCGGUAAUACGGAGGAUGCGAGCGUUAUCCGGAAUCAUUGGGCGUAAAGAGUUCGUAGGUGGCACGUUAAGUCUGGUGUUAAAGGCGGAAGCUCAACUUCCGUAGGGCACUGGAUACUUGCAAGCUGGAAUGCGGUAGAGGUAAAGGGAAUUCCUGGUGUAGCGGUGAAAUGCUUAGAUAUCAGGAGGAACAUCGGUGGCGUAAGCGCUUUACUGGGCCGUAAUUGACGCUGAGGAACGAAAGCCAGGGUAGCAAAUGGGAUUAGAUACCCUUGUAGUC